UCAUUAGUGAAGCAUGGGCAGCCAUACGGAUAUGCAAAACUGCGUGUCCCUGGCGCCUAACCCACUAUAUCCACCUAACCCCUGUGCACUGUGUGCGGAUGCGAUGAUUGUUCAUUGCGUCCGCCCAAGUAUAAACUCGUAUGGUUGUAUGUACGUGGAAAAAGUAGGACAAACCUACGAACCAAACACAACUUUCGACAACGGAUCUCUUGGUUCUCCCAUCGAUGAAGAACGCAGCGAAACGCGAUAGGUAAUGUGAAUUGCAGAAUUCCGUGAAUCAUCGAAUCUUUGAACGCAACUUGCGCUCCAUGGUAUUCCGUGGAGCAUGCCUGUUUGAGUGCCGCGAAUUCUCCCUCCCCAUGCGGUGGCCGCAAGGCCGGAGCGUGGCGGUUAGGGGUAGGAUGGGUGCCCUGCCUGGCGGCUUGGACCGCUAGGCUCGCCCGAAAUGCAUAAGCGCCAGGACCCUCGCUACUGCUCUCUAGGGAAGAGCAGCCGAGCGACCGCUGAGCAUGGCAUGAUACGUCAUUUGCUAUGUGUGGGCGGCCGGACGGAGAGGUGUCUGCUUUAUAACAGCCCUUUUUGAUUCUGGUCUCAAAUCAGGUAGGAUCACCCGCUGAACUUAA
This 623-nucleotide ribosomal RNA is filed under the name Malassezia nana. RNAcentral's name for it is "eukaryotic LSU rRNA". The stretch from base 190 to 343 matches the Rfam family "5.8S ribosomal RNA". Lineage: Eukaryota; Fungi; Basidiomycota; Malasseziomycetes; Malasseziales; Malasseziaceae. The record is from RNAcentral.